AAAAACAACACUAUCGGUCAUCUCUCUUUUAGGGAUCGCUGCUUCCUUUUUGUUCAGACAUCAGCACCAGUCUAGGGUGUCACCCCUGUUUAUUCGAGAGCUGAUUGGCCUGCCCUCUUCUUGUUUACAGUAGAUCAUCUUACAUAUCUGCAGAAUCUGAUACUUGUAAUCGUAUAAGGCAACCUAUUAGCUUGUUCAUUGCGGCAAUAUGUGCCGACUAACAUCAGUUUGUUUUUUAUAUCGUGUUCUUGACAUGGUAUCAGAGCACUAGGUGCUCUUGGGGUUCAUUGUUCUGCUGUCCGCUGCGUUCUAGGGAUCCGAUCAGUUCUGGAUUGAUCGUUGAAGACCACUGUUUACUCACGGAUUCUUGGUAGUUGACGUGCUUGUCUUGGUACACGCAAAUUUAAUCCAAAUUACAACUAGUAGAUAGUGGUAACUGGGUAUCGAACUCAGGGAGCAUGUGGAAAAUAAAUUAA
This 476-nucleotide long non-coding RNA is filed under the name Helianthus annuus (common sunflower). RNAcentral describes it as "hypothetical non coding rna". The record is from RNAcentral. Lineage: Eukaryota; Viridiplantae; Streptophyta; Magnoliopsida; Asterales; Asteraceae.